AGUGAACGCUGGCGGUAGGCCUAACACAUGCAAGUCGAACGGCAGCACAGUAAGAGCUUGCUCUUACGGGUGGCGAGUGGCGGACGGGUGAGGAAUACAUCGGAAUCUACUUUUUCGUGGGGGAUAACGUAGGGAAACUUACGCUAAUACCGCAUACGACCUACGGGUGAAAGCAGGGGAUCUUCGGACCUUGCGCGAUUGAAUGAGCCGAUGUCGGAUUAGCUAGUUGGCGGGGUAAAGGCCCACCAAGGCGACGAUCCGUAGCUGGUCUGAGAGGAUGAUCAGCCACACUGGACCUGAGACACGGUCCAGACUCCUACGGGAGGCAGCAGUGGGGAAUAUUGGACAAUGGGCGCAAGCCUGAUCCAGCCAUACCGCGUGGGUGAAGAAGGCCUUCGGGUUGUAAAACCCUUUUGUUGGAAAGAAAAGCAGCAGGUUAAUACCCCGCUGUUCUGACGGUACCCAAAGAAUAAGCACCAGCUAACUUCGUG
RNAcentral lists this ribosomal RNA (491 nucleotides) under uncultured bacterium. Its description in RNAcentral is "partial 16S ribosomal RNA". It matches the Rfam family "Bacterial small subunit ribosomal RNA", at positions 29 to 507 of the family's 1533-position model. The record is from RNAcentral.